Molecule: ribosomal RNA, 709 nt
Filed under: uncultured Enterobacteriaceae bacterium
Lineage: Bacteria; Pseudomonadati; Pseudomonadota; Gammaproteobacteria; Enterobacterales; Enterobacteriaceae
Description: bacterial SSU rRNA
Rfam family: Bacterial small subunit ribosomal RNA
Source: RNAcentral
AGUCACGCUGUAAACGAUGUCGAUUUGGAGUUUGUUGCCUAGAGUGAUGGGCUCCGAAACUAACGCGAUAAAUCGACCGCCUGGGGAGUACGGCCGCAAGGUUAAAACUCAAAUGAAUUGACGGGGGCCCGCACAAGCGGUGGAGCAUGUGGUUUAAUUCGAUGCAACGCGAAGAACCUUACCUGGUCUUGACAUCCAUAGAAUUCUGCAGAGAUGUGGGAGUGCCUUCGGGAACUAUGAGACAGGUGCUGCAUGGCUGUCGUCAGCUCGUGUUGUGAAAUGUUGGGUUAAGUCCCGCAACGAGCGCAACCCUUAUUCUUUGUUGCCAGCGAUUUGGUCGGGAACUCAAAGGAGACUGCCGUUGAUAAAGCGGAGGAAGGUGGGGACGACGUCAAGUCAUCAUGGCCCUUACGACCAGGGCUACACACGUGCUACAAUGGCGUAUACAAAGGGAAGCGAAGGUGCGAGCUGGAGCGGAUCUCAUAAAGUACGUCUAAGUUCGGAUUGGAGUCUGCAACUCGACUCCAUGAAGUCGGAAUCGCUAGUAAUCGUAGAUCAGAAUGCUACGGUGAAUACGUUCCCGGGCCUUGUACACACCGCCCGUCACACCAUGGGAGUGGGUUGCACCAGAAGUAGAUAGCUUAACCGCGAGGGGGGCGUUUACCACGGUGUGAUUCGUGACUGGGGUGAAGUCGUAACAAGGUAACCA